UUGAACGUGAAUUGAUUAUGUUUGGAUACACUUCAAUAGAAGUGAUUCUUAUGAGUUGAUGUUGUUUGAAUAG
This is a microRNA precursor of Medicago truncatula (barrel medic), 73 nucleotides long. It matches the Rfam family "MIR5272 microRNA precursor family". The record is from Rfam. NCBI's taxonomy places the organism in Eukaryota, Viridiplantae, Streptophyta, Magnoliopsida, Fabales, Fabaceae.